UACGUAGGCAGCAAGCGUUGUUCGGAGUUACUGGGCGUAAAGGGUGUGUAGGCGGUUCUUUAAGUUUGGUGUGAAAUCUCCCAGCUUAACUGGGAGGGUGGCAUUGAUACUGCGGGGCUAGAGUACAGAUGAGGUAGGCGGAAUUGACGGUGUAGCGGUGAAAUGCUUAGAUAUCGUCAAGAACACCUAUAGCGAAGGCAGCUUACUAGGCUGUAACUGACGCUGAGGCACGAAAGUGUGGGGAUCAAACAGG
Molecule: ribosomal RNA, 253 nt
Filed under: uncultured bacterium
Lineage: Bacteria
Description: partial 16S ribosomal RNA
Rfam family: Bacterial small subunit ribosomal RNA
Source: RNAcentral